GUACACUCCUACGGGAGGCAGCAGUGGGGAAUAUUGCACAAUGGGCGCAAGCCUGAUGCAGCCAUGCCGCGUGUAUGAAGAAGGCCUUCGGGUUGUAAAGUACUUUCAGCGGGGAGGAAGGCGAUAAGGUUAAUAACCUUGUUGAUUGACGUUACCCGCAGAAGAAGCACCGGCUAACUCCGUGCCAGCAGCCGCGGUAAUACGGAGGGUGCAAGCGUUAAUCGGAAUUACUGGGCGUAAAGCGCACGCAGGCGGUCUGUCAAGUCGGAUGUGAAAUCCCCGGGCUCAACCUGGGAACUGCAUUCGAAACUGGCAGGCUAGAGUCUUGUAGAGGGGGGUAGAAUUCCAGGUGUAGCGGUGAAAUGCGUAGAGAUCUGGAGGAAUACCGGUGGCGAAGGCGGCCCCCUGGACAAAGACUGACGCUCAGGUGCGAAAGCGUGGGGAGCAAACAGGAUUAGAAACCCCAGUAGUCCCAUGA
Molecule: ribosomal RNA, 478 nt
Filed under: uncultured organism
Description: partial 16S ribosomal RNA
Rfam family: Bacterial small subunit ribosomal RNA
Source: RNAcentral